UGAGUCGACCGGGCGGUCGCGGAGCAAUCCGAGGAAAGUCCGGACUCCACAGAGCACGGUGGUGGGUAACACCCACCUGGGGCGACCCACGGGAAAGUGCCACAGAGAAUAGACCGCCUGGCAACUUAGGUUGUCAGGUAAGGGUGAAACGGUGGUGCAAGAGACCACCGCGGCCCAUGUGAAUGGGUUGGCAGGGCAAACCCCACCGGGAGCAAGACCAAGAAGACCGAAAGGUCGCGGUGACGAACGGGCGGCUCGUCCGAUGUCACCGGGUAGGUCGCAGGCUGUGCCAGUUUGUCUGACCAGCCAAGGGCCUCGGCAACGAGACUCGAAGAUGGAUGACCGCCGCCCCCUCGGGGCACAGAAUCCGGCUUAUAGGUCGACUCAUCCC
Molecule: RNase P RNA, 391 nt
Filed under: Propionibacteriaceae bacterium
Lineage: Bacteria; Bacillati; Actinomycetota; Actinomycetes; Propionibacteriales; Propionibacteriaceae
Description: RNase P RNA component class A
Rfam family: Bacterial RNase P class A
About the family: Ribonuclease P (RNase P) is a ubiquitous endoribonuclease, found in archaea, bacteria and eukarya as well as chloroplasts and mitochondria.
Source: RNAcentral